This is a transfer RNA of Halobaculum gomorrense, 85 nucleotides long. It matches the Rfam family "tRNA". Rfam says of the family: Transfer RNA (tRNA) molecules are approximately 80 nucleotides in length. Their secondary structure includes four short double-helical elements and three loops (D, anti-codon, and T loops). Further hydrogen bonds mediate the characteristic L-shaped molecular structure. tRNAs have two regions of fundamental functional importance: the anti-codon, which is responsible for specific mRNA codon recognition, and the 3' end, to which the tRNAs corresponding amino acid is attached (by aminoacyl-tRNA synthetases). tRNAs cope with the degeneracy of the genetic code in two manners: having more than one tRNA (with a specific anti-codon) for a particular amino acid; and 'wobble' base-pairing, i.e. permitting non-standard base-pairing at the 3rd anti-codon position. Lineage: Archaea; Methanobacteriati; Methanobacteriota; Halobacteria; Halobacteriales; Haloferacaceae. The record is from Rfam.
GCGAGGGUGGCUGAGCUUGGCCAAAGGCGGCGGACUUAAGAUCCGCUCCCUCAGGGGUUCAAGGGUUCAAAUCCCUUCCCUCGCA